Long non-coding RNA from Ctenopharyngodon idella (grass carp), 2518 nucleotides. RefSeq lists it as uncharacterized. The record is from RefSeq and is a predicted model, not a curated record. The transcript is spliced from 3 exons. NCBI's taxonomy places the organism in Eukaryota, Metazoa, Chordata, Actinopteri, Cypriniformes, Xenocyprididae.
UCAAGUCAAGUCACCUUUAUUUAUAUAGCGCUUUUUACAAUGUAGAUUGUGUCAAAGCAGCUUUACAUUGAUAACUGGUACAUUGUUUGGCUGCACAGCAGCUCUUAAAGAAUAGUGUCAAUGCAGGCAGAUCAAAGCACUGUUGAAUAUCAAAAUGUCAAGUCAAGUGUCCCCAACUAAGCAAGCCAGAGGCGACAGCGGCAAGGAACCCAAACUCCAUCAGGUGACAUCAGGUGGCAGACAAGUGGCAAAUUGGUGUUAAAAUGGAGAAAAAAACCUUGGGAGAAACCAGGCUUAGUCGGGGUGCCAGUUCUCCUCUGGCCAACAGUGCUUUGUUACAAUUCAGGUUGCUAUCAUAAGUCCAAUAGGAUCGCAACAUUAAAAGUAUUUAUUUCAGUUCCAUCCAAUUGAGGAUCGUAUUCAUCACGCCGGUAUGGACGGUUGUUGAGGAACUGUGUCGUGGCUGUCGUGUCGAUGAGGCCUUCACAGGGGAUGAUCUAGUUGACUCAAUCUCUGCUGAUACUUCAGGGCUGCGUUGUGGUCGUGUCAAGGUGCAGGUCCUUGGUCUCACCUGGAUACGGCCCGGAUCCAGUUGACUACGGUGAACCUUGGGAUAAACAGAAAGACUAAUAUUAGCGUAGAUGCCAUUCUUCUUCUGAUGUAACAAAUACAUCAGGUGUUAUAGGAAGUGUUCCCGGUUCCGGCUGACCUAAUUUAUGCAGCCUAAUAAUCCUUUAACGGAUUUGGAAAUAUAAAUUGGUAAUGUGUUAUGUGUAUGCCAGGUUAAAGAAAUGCGUUUUUAGUCUAGAUUUAAACUGACAGAGUGUGUCUGCUUCCCGAACAAUGCUAGGAAGAUUGUUCCAGAGUUUAGGUGCCAAAUAGGAGAAGGAUCUACCACCUGCAGUUGAUUUUGAUAUUCUAGGUAUUAUCAGCUGGCCUGAAUUCUGAGAUCGCAAUAGACGUGAAGGACUAUAAUGAAUUAGGAGCUCGCUCAGGUACUGGGGAGCUAAACCAUUUAGUGCUUUGUAAGUAAUUAGCAAGAUUUUAAAAUCUAUACGAUUUUUAACAGGAAGCCAAUGCAGUGUUGACAGAACUGGGCUAAUAUGGUCAUACUUCCUAGUUCUAGUAAGAACUCUAGCUGCUGCAUUUUGUACGAGCUGUAGUUUAUUUAUCAGGCGAGCAGAACAACCACCCAGUAGAGCGUUACAGUAAUCUAGCCUUGAGGUCAUGAACGCAUGAACUAACUGUUCUGCAUUUUUCAUUGAGAGCAUAUGUCGUAGUUUAGAUAUAUUUUUAAGAUGGAAGAAUGCGGUUUUACAGAUGCUAGUAACAUGGCCUUCAAAUGAAAGAUUGGUAUCAAAGAGCACACCCAGGUUCCUAACUGACGACGAAGACUUAACAGAGCAGCCAUCAAGUGUUAGACAAUAUUCUAGGUUAUUACGUGAAGAAGUUUUUGGUCCAAAAAUUAGAAUCUCUGUUUUUUCUGAAUUUAGUAGUAGGAAAUUACUGGUCAUCCAAUUUUUUAUAUCAGCUAUGCAUUCCAUUAAUUUUGUGAAUUGGUAAGUUUCGUCAGGGCGCGAAGAAAUAUAGAGCUGAGUAUCAUCAGCGUAACAGUGAAAACUAACGCCAUGCUUCCUAAUGAUAUCUCCCAAGGGUAGCAUGUACAGAGUGAACAGCAACGGUCCUAGUACUGAGCCUUGUGGUACUCCAUAUUGAACUUGUGAUCGGUAUGACAUGUCUUCGUUUACUACUACAAACUGAUAACGGUCAGAUAAGUAUGAUUUGAACCAUGACAAUGCAAUUCCACUAAUGCCAACAUAAUUUUCGAGUCUAUUUAAAAGAAUAUUGUGAUCAAUAGUGUCAAAUGCUGCACUAAGAUCCAGUAACACUAAUAGAGAGAUACAACCACUGAUGAUAAGAGCAAAUCAUUAGUAACUCUAAUGAGAGCAGUCUCAGUACUAUGGUACAGUCUAAAUCCUGACUAGAAAUCCUCACAGAUACCAUUUCUUUCUAAAAAGGAACAUAGCUGUGAUGAUACUGCCUUUUCUAGUAUUUUUGACAGAAAAGUGAGAUUUGAGAUCGGCCUGUAAUUGACUAAUUCUCUAGGAUCAAGUUGUGGUUUUUUAAUAAGAGGUUUAAUAAUAGCCAGCUUAAAAGUUUUUGGUACGUAUCCUAAUGAUAAAGAUGAAUUGACGAUAUUGAGAAGAGGGUCUAUGACCUCUGGAAGCAUUUCUUUCAAUAGCUUAGUCGGUAUAGGGUCUAACAUACAUGUUGUUGAUUUUGAUGAUUUAACAAGUUUAGACAAUUCUUCCUCUCCUAAAGCAGUAAAUGAACUGAAUUUUUCCUCAGGGACACUACAAUGCACUAUCUGACACGAUACUGUAGUAGACGGUUGCAUGGUUAUUAUUUUUUCUCUAAUAUUAUCAAUCUUGCAAGUAAAGAAGUUCAUAAAGUCAUUACUGCUGUGCUAUUUGGAAACAUCAGAAGUUGAAGCUUUAUUUCUUGUUAAUUUAGCCAC